GCCAGACUCCUACGGGAGGCAGCAGUGAGGAAUAUUGGUCAAUGGGCGCAAGCCUGAACCAGCCAAGUCGCGUGAGGGAUGACGGUCCUAUGGAUUGUAAACCUCUUUUGUCGGGGAGCAAGGCCCGCCACGUGUGGCGGGAAGGAGAGUACCCGAAGAAAAAGCAUCGGCUAACUCCGUGCCAGCAGCCGCGGUAAUACGGAGGAUGCGAGCGUUAUCCGGAUUUAUUGGGUUUAAAGGGUGCGUAGGCGGAAUAUCAAGUCAGCGGUAAAAAUUCGGGGCUCAACCCCGUCGUGCCGUUGAAACUGAUGUUCUUGAGUGGGCGAGAAGUAUGCGGAAUGCGUGGUGUAGCGGUGAAAUGCUUAGAUAUCGCGCAGAACCCCGAUUGCGAAGGCAGCGUACCGGCUCCACACUGACGCUGAGGCACGAAAGCGUGGGUAUCGAACAGGAUUAGAUACCCUGGUA
Molecule: ribosomal RNA, 465 nt
Filed under: uncultured bacterium
Lineage: Bacteria
Description: bacterial SSU rRNA
Rfam family: Bacterial small subunit ribosomal RNA
Source: RNAcentral